This 720-nucleotide ribosomal RNA is filed under the name uncultured Bacteroidales bacterium. RNAcentral describes it as "bacterial SSU rRNA". It matches the Rfam family "Bacterial small subunit ribosomal RNA", at positions 58 to 765 of the family's 1533-position model. The record is from RNAcentral. Lineage: Bacteria; Pseudomonadati; Bacteroidota; Bacteroidia; Bacteroidales.
CAAGUCGAGGGGCAGCAUGGUCUUAGCUUGCUAAGGCUGAUGGCGACCGGCGCACGGGUGAGUAACACGUAUCCAACCUGCCGUCUACUCUUGGCCAGCCUUCUGAAAGGAAGAUUAAUCCAGGAUGGCAUCAUGAGUUCACAUGUCCGCAUGAUUAAAGGUAUUUUCCGGUAGACGAUGGGGAUGCGUUCCAUUAGAUAGUAGGCGGGGUAACGGCCCACCUAGUCAACGAUGGAUAGGGGUUCUGAGAGGAAGGUCCCCCACAUUGGAACUGAGACACGGUCCAAACUCCUACGGGAGGCAGCAGUGAGGAAUAUUGGUCAAUGGGCGAUGGCCUGAACCAGCCAAGUAGCGUGAAGGAUGACUGCCCUAUGGGUUGUAAACUUCUUUUAUAAAGGAAUAAAGUCGGGUAUGCAUACCCGUUUGCAUGUACUUUAUGAAUAAGGAUCGGCUAACUCCGUGCCAGCAGCCGCGGUAAUACGGAGGAUCCGAGCGUUAUCCGGAUUUAUUGGGUUUAAAGGGAGCGUAGAUGGAUGUUUAAGUCAGUUGUGAAAGUUUGCGGCUCAACCGUAAAAUUGCAGUUGAUACUGGAUGUCUUGAGUGCAGUUGAGGCAGGCGGAAUUCGUGGUGUAGCGGUGAAAUGCUUAGAUAUCACGAAGAACUCCGAUUGCGAAGGCAGCCUGCUAAGCUGCAACUGACAUUGAGGCUCGAAAGUGUGGG